UGGGGAAUAUUGCACAAUGGAGGGAACUCUGAUGCAGCGACGCCGCGUGAGUGAUAAAGGAAUUCGUUUCGUAAAACUCUGUUCUAUGGGAAGAAAAGGACUGUACCAUAGGAGAAAGCUCCGGCUAAAUACGUGCCAGCAGCCGCGGUAAUACGUAUGGAGCGAGCGUUGUCCGGAAUUAUUGGGCGUAAAGGGUGCGCAGGCGGCUUUACAAGUUGGAUGUGAAAUAUUGUGGCUCAACCACAAACGUGCACCCAAAACUGCAAAGCUUGAGUUAAGGAGAGGUAAGUGGAAUUCCUGGUGUAGCGGUGGAAUGCGUAGAUAUCAGGAGGAAUACCGGUGGCGAAGGCGACUUACUGGACUUAAACUGACGCUCAGGCACGAAAGCGUGGGGAGCAAACAGG
RNAcentral lists this ribosomal RNA (404 nucleotides) under Fusobacteriota bacterium. RNAcentral describes it as "Fusobacteria bacterium partial 16S ribosomal RNA". It matches the Rfam family "Bacterial small subunit ribosomal RNA", at positions 355 to 776 of the family's 1533-position model. Lineage: Bacteria; Fusobacteriati; Fusobacteriota. The record is from RNAcentral.